GAUCAUGGCUCAGGAUGAACGCUGGCGGCGUGCCUAACACAUGCAAGUCGAACGGACUUUUCGAUGAAGCCUAGCGAUUGAAAGUUAGUGGCGGACGGGUGAGUAACGCGUGGGUAACCUGCCUUGUACUGGGGGACGAACAGUUGGAACGACUGCUAAUACCGCAUAAGCGCACAGCUUCGCAUGAAGCAGUGUGAAAACUCCGGUGGUACAAGAUGGACCCGCGUCUGAUUAGCG
RNAcentral lists this ribosomal RNA (237 nucleotides) under uncultured bacterium. Its description in RNAcentral is "partial 16S ribosomal RNA". It matches the Rfam family "Bacterial small subunit ribosomal RNA", at positions 15 to 246 of the family's 1533-position model. The record is from RNAcentral.